CAGGCUUAACACAUGCAAGUCGAGGGGCAGCAUGGUCUUAGCUUGCUAAGGCCGAUGGCGACCGGCGCACGGGUGAGUAACACGUAUCCAACCUGCCGUCUACUCUUGGACAGCCUUCUGAAAGGAAGAUUAAUACAAGAUGGCAUCAUGAGUCCGCAUGUUCACAUGAUUAAAGGUAUUCCGGUAGACGAUGGGGAUGCGUUCCAUUAGAUAGUAGGCGGGGUAACGGCCCACCUAGUCUUCGAUGGAUAGGGGUUCUGAGAGGAAGGUCCCCCACAUUGGAACUGAGACACGGUCCAAACUCCUACGGGAGGCAGCAGUGAGGAAUAUUGGUCAAUGGGCGCAGGCCUGAACCAGCCAAGUAGCGUGAAGGAUGACUGCCCUAUGGGUUGUAAACUUCUUUUAUAAAGGAAUAAAGUCGGGUAUGGAUACCCGUUUGCAUGUACUUUAUGAAUAAGGAUCGGCUAACUCCGUGCCAGCAGCCGCGGUAAUACGGAGGAUCCGAGCGUUAUCCGGAUUUAUUGGGUUUAAAGGGAGCGUAGAUGGAUGUUUAAGUCAGUUGUGAAAGUUUGCGGCUCAACCGUAAAAUUGCAGUUGAUACUGGAUAUCUUGAGUGCAGUUGAGGCAGGCGGAAUUCGUGGUGUAGCGGUGAAAUGCUUAGAUAUCACGAAGAACUCCGAUUGCGAAGGCAGCCUGCUAAGCUGCAACUGACAUUGAGGCUCGAAAGUGUGGGUAUCAAACAGGAUUAGAUACCCUGGUAGUCCACACGGUAAACGAUGAAUACUCGCUGUUUGCGAUAUACGGCAAGCGGCCAAGCGAAAGCGUUAAGUAUUCCACCUGGGGAGUACGCCGGCAACGGUGAAACCCAAAGGAAUUGACGGGGGCCCGCACAAGCGGAGGAACAUGUGGUUUAAUUCGAUGAUACGCGAGGAACCUUACCCGGGCUUAAAUUGCAGAUGAAUUACGGUGAAAGCCGUAAGCCGCAAGGCAUCUGUGAAGGUGCUGCAUGGUUGUCGUCAGCUCGUGCCGUGAGGUGUCGGCUUAAGUGCCAUAACGAGCGCAACCCUUGUUGUCAGUUACUAACAGGUUCCGCUGAGGACUCUGACAAGACUGCCAUCGUAAGAUGUGAGGAAGGUGGGGAUGACGUCAAAUCAGCACGGCCCUUACGUCCGGGGCUACACACGUGUUACAAUGGGGGGUACAGAGGGCCGCUACCACGCGAGUGGAUGCCAAUCCCAAAAACCUCUCUCAGUUCGGACUGGAGUCUGCAACCCGACUCCACGAAGCUGGAUUCGCUAGUAAUCGCGCAUCAGCCACGGCGCGGUGAAUACGUUCCCGGGCCUUGUACACACCGCCCGUCAAGCCAUGGGAGCCGGGGGUACCUGAAGUGCGUAACCGCGAGGAGCGCCCUAGGGUAAAACUGGUGACUGGGGCUAAGUC
Molecule: ribosomal RNA, 1440 nt
Filed under: uncultured organism
Description: 16S ribosomal RNA
Rfam family: Bacterial small subunit ribosomal RNA
Source: RNAcentral